GUGGGAUAUUCCCUGAUAACCUUAAAGGAGCUGUGUCACCGCGUGCGCAUCCUUUCUGCGCACAUAUAAACUUGAAAACUACAGUCUGUAGUUUUCAAGUUAUCAAAUCCAAGAUGGCGGCGCCAAGUGCUGUAGCGCAUGGUGGGAGACGAGAUAAUUCGGGAAGAAAACGAAAAUAUAGGGCAUGUAGUAAAACACUGACUAUCGGAACACCGGAACACCACCGGAACACCGGAACACCACCAUUUUGUUUGGGGUUAGGGUUAGAAUUAGGGUUUGGGGUUAGGGUUAGGGUUGGGGGUUAGGGUUAGGGUUGGGGGUUAGGGUUGGGGUUAGGUGGUGUUCCGGUGGUGUUCCGGUGUUCCGGUAGUCAGUGUUUUACUACAUGCCAAAAUAUAGUGGAUCGAUAGGGUCGCAAAAAGGCUGGAAUAGUGCGAACAAACGUAUAUAUUUACCUUUAACGAUAUUUGAGGCAUGGAGAAACGCGAAAAGUGAGGCUGGGU
This is a non-coding RNA of Paramuricea clavata, 503 nucleotides long. NCBI's taxonomy places the organism in Eukaryota, Metazoa, Cnidaria, Anthozoa, Malacalcyonacea, Plexauridae. The record is from the annotation of a GenBank genome assembly.